RNAcentral lists this long non-coding RNA (3914 nucleotides) under Salmo salar (Atlantic salmon). Its description in RNAcentral is "lncRNA (ENSSSAG00000091753.1)". The record is from RNAcentral. Lineage: Eukaryota; Metazoa; Chordata; Actinopteri; Salmoniformes; Salmonidae.
GGGGAGUGUCGCUGCACAGCUAUUUGCAGGUCUCUCCAGAGAUAUUCGAUCUGGUUCAAGUCCGGGCUCUGGCUGGGCCACUCAAGGACAUUCAGAGACUUGUAUUGAAGCAACUCCUGCGUUGUUUUGACUGUGUAUUUAGGGUUGUUGUCCUGUUGGAAGGUGAACCUUCGCCCCAGUCAGGUCCUGAGCGAUCUGGAGCAGGUUUUCAUCAAGGAUCUCUCUGUACUUUGCUCCGUUCAUCUUUCUCUUGAUCUUGACUAGUCACCCAGUGCCUGCCACUGAAAAACAUCCCCACAGCACAAUGCUGCCACCACCAUGCUUCACCGUAGGGAUGGUGCCAAGUUUCCUCCAGACGUGACGCUUGGCAUUCAGGCCAAGGAAUUCAAACUUGGUUUCAUCAGACCAGAGAAUCUUGUUUCUCCUGGUCUGAGAGUCCUUUAGGUGCCUUUUGGCAAACUCCAAGCGGGCUAUCAUUUGCCUUUUACUGAGGAGUGGCUUUCGUCUGGCCACUACCAUAAAGGCCUGAUUGGUGGAGCGCAGCAGAGAUGGUUGCCCUUCUGGAAGGUUCUCCCAUCUUCACAGAGGAACUCUGGAGCUCUGUCAGAGUGACCAUUGGGUUCUUGGUCAUCUCCCUGACCAAGGCCCUUCUCCCCCGAUUGCUCAGUUUGGCCGGGCGGCCAACUCUAGGAAGAGUCUUGAUGGUUCCAAACUUCUUCCAUUUAAGAAUGAUGGAGGCCACUGUGUUCUUCGGGACCUUCAAUGCUGCAAACAUUUUUUGGUACCCUUCCCCAGACACAAUCCUGUCUCUGAGCUCUACGGACAAUUCCUUCGACCUCAUGGCUUGGUAUUUGCUCUGACAUGCACAGGCAACUGUGGGACCUUUUAUAGACAGGUGUUUGUCUUUCCAAAUCAUGUCCAAUCAAUUGAAUUUACUACAGGUGGACUCCAAUCAAGUUGUAGAAACAUCAAGGAUGAUCAAUGGAGACAGGAUGCACCUGAGUUAAAUUUCGAGUCUCAUAGCAAAGAGUCUGAAUACUUGUAAAUAAGGUAUCUGUUUUUUAUUUUUAAUACAUUUGCAAACAUUUCAAAAAACUGUUUUUGCUUUGUCAUUAUGGGGUAUUGUGUGUAGAUUGAUGAGAAAAAAUGUAAUCCCUUUUAGAAUAAGGCUGUAACGUAACAAAAUGUGGAAAAAGUCAAGGGGUGUGAAUGCACUGUAUAUUUAGAAAUUAAACUUUAUUUGUCACAUGCGCCGAAUACAACAAGUGUAGACCUUACCGUGAAAUGCUUACUUACAAGCCCUUAACCAACAGUGCAGUUCAGGAAGAGUUAAGAAAAUAUUUACGAAAUAAACAAAAAUAAAUAGAAAAUUAGCACAAUAACGAGGCUAUAUACAGGGGGUACCGGUACCGAGUCAGUGUACGUGGGUACAGGUUAGUUGAGGUAAUUUGUACAUGUAGGUAGGGGUGAAGUGACUAUGCAUAGAUAAUAAACCACGAGUAGCAGCAGUGUACAAAACAAAUGGAGGGGGGGGGGGGGGGGUCAAUGUAAUAGUCCGGUGGCCAUUUGAUUAUUUGUUCAGCAGUCUUAUGGCUUGGGGGUAGAAGCUGUUAAGGAGCCUUUUGGUCCUAGACUUGGCGCUCCGGGACCGCUUGUCGUGCGGUAGUAGUCUAUAACUUGGGUGACUGGGGUCUCUGACAAUUUUAUGGGUUUUCCUCUGACACCGCCUAUUAUAUAGGUCCUGGAAUGCAGGAAGCUUGGCCCCAGUGAUGUACUGGGCCGUACGCACUUAGCAUGGCAUUUAGACAAUUAAUAUAAUGCAGCUUUGAAUGUUUACCCUUCUCUCGAAAGUGAAUAGUUUAUACGUUUGGAAUUUUACAGAGAGCUUCUCCUGCUCUGACCAAUGAAUGCUAAAUGAUUGCAGUCCUUUAUGAAAUUACCAUGUUCAUGUAAACAUGACCAAAUAGAGUGGUGAGGAGAAGCUCAGUGGACCCUUUGUGUCCAGAAGUAAUUUAGCCAUUUAUUGUAGUCAUUGCGAUCUGUCGAGUUUAAUAAAGUCCAGAUAACCCUACGUCAAUGAUGCCGGUGGAUCUCAAAACUGAACUUGGAUCCGCAUUAAGUAGCAAUGAUAUCCUUCGCCACCUCCAUUUUACGGCAGAUAUAUUGUGAGAGCUCCAAUCGGGUUUAUUUGCUUGGCACUGUCUCAGGAUAUCAGCCAUGUGAACCCAUUCUGCAGCUUAUCAUAAUGGCAUGCAUUACCAAUACAGCCAUAGACCUACAAUAUGAUGGCAUUACUGGCCUAAUGGGCAUAUGCAAUCAAUGUGCACCUGUAAGUGUUGUUACAUAGAUGCUGUGUUCACGAUGCAUGAUUAAUUCAUAAUUCAUGGUUUAUUUGAUGUAGUAAAUAAAUAAAUUAUUUAGUGAUGUAUAGAUAAGAAUUUAAAUGUGAUGUAACAGGUAAAUUAACGUUAGGCCAUUGUUUGUGUUUUUAUGUUCCAUCCCGGAACUAACGUUCUCUGUUGUGUUACUGCUACGGAAUUUGUUAAUUGACUGUGUGCAAUCUAACUUAAGCAGAUCUUAGACUAGUCUGAGUCAUAAUUGUUGAUGGCAGAGGCUAAGAAAGACAGUAAAGGGACUUUCAAGGGACUUCAAGGAUUCAAUAACGUUUUUUUCAGGACAAGCAGCCAACGAGUUCUCACGGCGUGACGUGGAUGCAUCGGAGAAAAAGACGUGCAAGGGAAUAAACGCCCGUUUCAAGGAACCAACCUGUGUCUUGUCGUGAAGAGAGCUACAUGCCCCUUGUCAUUGUACAUCUGAAGCAGAGAAUAGCUGAACUCACAAAUCAUCUCCAUAUUGUUGAGAUAGCUAUAUGUUCUCAAUUGUAAAUGCCAAGAGUGUGCAAAUCUGUCAUCAAGGCAAAUGGUGGCUACUUUGAAGAAUCUCAAAUAUAAAAUAUAUUUAGAUUUGUUUAACACUUUGAUUACUACAUGAUUCCAUACGUGUUAUUUCAUAGUUUGUCUUCACUAUUAUUCUACAAUGUAGAAAAAUAGUAAAAAUAAAGAAAAAAAACUUGAAUGAGUAUGUGUGUCCAAACUCUUGACUGGUACUGUGUAUAUAUACAUAUAUAUACACCCACACACACAGUGGCAAGAAAAAGUAUGUGAACCCUUUUGGAAUUACCUGGAUUUCUGCAUAAAUUGGUCAUAAAAUUUGACCUGAUCUUCAUCUAAGUCACAACAAUAGACAAGCAGUCUGCUUAAACUAAUAACACACAAUGUGUUUUCAUGUCUUUAUUGAACACACCGUGUAAACAUUCACUGUAGGGUGGAAAAAGUAUGUGAACCCUUGGAUUUAAUAACUGGUUGACCCUCCUUUGGCAGCAAUAACCUCAACCAAAUGUUUUCUGUAGUUGCGGAUCAGACAUGCACAGCGGUCAGGAGGAAUUUUGGACCAUUCAUCUUUACAGAACUGUUUCAGUUCAGCAAUAUUCUUAGGAUGUCUGGUGUGAAUUGCUCGAGGUCAUACCACAGCAUUUUAAAUUGGGAUGAGGUCAGGACUCUGACUGGGCCUCUCCAGAAGGUGUAUUUUCUUCUGUUGAAGCCAUUCUGUUGUUGAUUUACUUCUGUGUUUUGGGUCGUGGUCCUGUUGCAUCACCCAACUUCUGUUGAGCUUCAAUUGGCGGACAGAUAGCCUUACCUUCUCCUACAAAAUGUCUUGAUAAACUUGGGAAUUCAUUUUCCGUCCAUGAUAGCAAGCUGUCCAGGCCCUGAGGCAGCAAAGCAGCCCCAAACCAAAAUGCUCCCUCCACCAUACUUUACAGUUGGGAUUAGCAUGUUCCAGAGAUUUCUGUAAGUCUUUAGCUGACACUCUAGGAAUCUUCUUAACCUCAUUGAGCAUUCUGCACUGUGCUCUUG